CCUACGGGGGGCAGCAGUGAGGAAUAUUGGUCAAUGGGCGAGAGCCUGAACCAGCCAAGUCGCGUGAGGGAGUACUGCCCUAUGGGUUGUAAACCUCUUUUGUCGGGGAGCAAAAGCCGGACGUGUCCGGCUGUGAGAGUACCCGAAGAAAAAGCAUCGGCUAACUCCGUGCCAGCAGCCGCGGUAAUACGGAGGAUGCGAGCGUUAUCCGGAUUUAUUGGGGUUAAGGGGUGCGCAGGCGGAUUUUUAAGUCAGCGGUCAAAUCGUGGGGCUCAACCCCAUCCAGCCGUGGAAACUGGGGAUCUAGAGUGUGCGAGAGGUAUGCGGAAUGCGUGGUGUAGCGGUGAAAUGCAUAGAUAUCACGCAGAACCCCGAUUGCGAAGGCAGCAUACCGGUGCACAACUGACGCUCAGGCACGAAAGCGUGGGUAUCGAACAGGAUUAGAUACCCCGGUAGUC
Molecule: ribosomal RNA, 458 nt
Filed under: uncultured bacterium
Lineage: Bacteria
Description: partial 16S ribosomal RNA
Rfam family: Bacterial small subunit ribosomal RNA
Source: RNAcentral